GCCUACGGGUGGCUGCAGUAGGGAAUCUUUCACAAUGGGCGAAAGCCUGAUGGAGCAACGCCGCGUGCAGGAUGAAGGCCUUCGGGUUGUAAACUGCUUUUAUAAGCGAGAAAUAUGAUGGUAACUUAUGAAUAAGGAUCGGCUAACUACGUGCCAGCAGCCGCGGUCAUACGUAGGAUCCGAGCAUUAUCCGGAGAGACUGGGUGUAAAGAGUUGCGUAGGGGGGAUAAUAAGUAGCUAGUGGAAUCUGGUGGCUCAACCAUUCAGACUAUUAGCUAAACUGUUAAGCUCGAGACCGUUAGGGGUAACUGGAAUUUCAAGUGUAGGAGUGGAAUGCGUAGAUAUAAGGAAGAACACCAGUAGCGUAGGCAGGUUACUGGGACGGUUCUGACACUGAGGCACGAAAGCAUAGGGAGCGAACAGGAUUAGAUACCCCGGUAGUC
This 443-nucleotide ribosomal RNA is filed under the name uncultured bacterium. RNAcentral describes it as "partial 16S ribosomal RNA". It matches the Rfam family "Bacterial small subunit ribosomal RNA", at positions 337 to 795 of the family's 1533-position model. The record is from RNAcentral.